Daphnia pulicaria is the source of this 165-nucleotide long non-coding RNA. RefSeq lists it as uncharacterized. The transcript is spliced from 3 exons. The record is from RefSeq and is a predicted model, not a curated record. Lineage: Eukaryota; Metazoa; Arthropoda; Branchiopoda; Diplostraca; Daphniidae.
GCUGAAAGUUAGUAUACCUUGUGCUCAAAUAUACGCCUUUUUAAUCUGUAUUGGCCGGUAGUGCGAGCCUAUCACAAGAGAAAGGGGUUGUUAUUUGUGCGCAUUUUUCCUUGUUAACCCAAACCCCUCUACCCCUUCUUUUCUUAACUCUACCCUUUAACAUCA